CUGCCUUUAGCUCAGCUGGAUAGAGUAUCGGACUCCGAUUCCGACGGUCGGGGGUUCAAAUCCCCCAAGGCAGGCCA
This 77-nucleotide transfer RNA is filed under the name Clostridia bacterium. RNAcentral's name for it is "tRNA-Arg". It matches the Rfam family "tRNA". From Rfam's summary of the family: Transfer RNA (tRNA) molecules are approximately 80 nucleotides in length. Lineage: Bacteria; Bacillati; Bacillota; Clostridia. The record is from RNAcentral.